GGCGGCGAAUAUCGGGAUCGAACGAAGAAGAAAAACAAAAGACGCAGCGAAAUAACAAACCCCAGGCGCAGAACGUUAAAAAACAUCGAAAGUAAAUGACUAGCAAAAUCGGGAAUGUUAAAUUAAACGCGGAUGUGAAUUAGUUUAAGUGCAAUAGUCCAGUGAUCGCGAUUAAAAGCGUGCUAUCAAUACAGUUAUUCCUAUGGCCGUUUAAUACAGUUAUUUUUUUGCAUAUUUUUUUGUACGCAUAUAAAUUAAUUAAAUGAUAGUUAAUUCGCUGUGCUAGCUGAACAUUUACCCGCAUCUAAACAUAUUAUUAAAUUAUUUUGGAUUAUUUGCUAUAAUCAAUUGACUUGUUGUGCGUGUGUGUCUUAUUUAAUAUUUUUUUUCGUGUUGCGUUAUUUUUGUUGUAGAGUGCAAUUGCCUGUGCGGGGGAAAGAGAGCAGUGCCCGUUGUCUGUGUGUGGUUGUGAGGAAGUUAUAGUUUAAUGUUUUAGCUUCAAUUGUCGAGCAACAACAACAACAACGAAAGAAGAAAAUAAAUAAAAUUAAAAGCAGCAGCAGCAGCACUAACAUCAGCCGCAGCGGCAGCGACAGCAACAACAAGAACAACAACAUGACGAUGCUGAUUGAUGUCACACACACACACGCAUACGCACGCACCCAAGGAGAAUAAACUCUAUCACCUUGAGGGGGACGCUUAUCAAUUAUAUUCUUUUUUUGCCAGCGAACAGAAAAAGAUGUUAUCUUGGCAAACAACAACUUGAAGGAUGAAUCUAGCAAACAUUCUGGCAUCAUAAUCAGUGAAUCAAGUGCAAAUGUAUUGGCAUGUUUUAAUUAAACGAAAUUGCUUGUAUCGCAUUGAUGGCUUAAUAUGGGUCACAUGUACGCCUAUCGGUGUCCUGCCAAACAAAAGUGGCAUUGUAUGUGAGCCAGAGAGUGCUAGGAGCAGGAAGCUGGAAGCAGGGAGCAGGAAGCUGGAAGCUGGGUGAACUGUGUCUGGAAUAUUCACUUAAGUGAACAAGAGGACAUGAUGAAACCUAGAAGCAGGCAAGGAGCAAACAGGAGCUGGCCAAUUAAUUUGGUGACAAUAGGAGACAAGAAGUAGAAGCACAAAUAACGUAUUGCAAAAAUCAAGAAC
Drosophila serrata is the source of this 1140-nucleotide long non-coding RNA. NCBI's taxonomy places the organism in Eukaryota, Metazoa, Arthropoda, Insecta, Diptera, Drosophilidae. The record is from RefSeq and is a predicted model, not a curated record.